This 928-nucleotide ribosomal RNA is filed under the name uncultured Lactococcus sp. RNAcentral describes it as "bacterial SSU rRNA". It matches the Rfam family "Bacterial small subunit ribosomal RNA". Lineage: Bacteria; Bacillati; Bacillota; Bacilli; Lactobacillales; Streptococcaceae. The record is from RNAcentral.
GAUGAACGCUGGCGGCGCGCCUAACACAUGCAAGUCGAACGGUUAAAGCACCUUUUAGGUGUGUAUAAAGUGGCGAACGGCUGAGUAACACGUGGGCAACCUGCCCUCCUCUUGGGGAUAGCCUCGGGAAACCGAGGAUAAUACCCGAUACUUCAAUGUGGCCGCAUGACGACAUUGAGAAAGCUUUUGCGGAGAAGGAUGGGCCCGCGGCCUGUUAGCUUGUUGGUGGGGUAGAGGCCUACCAAGGCAAUGAUGGGUAGCUGGGUUGAGAGACCGACCAGCCAGAUUGGGACUGAGACACGGCCCAGACUCCUACGGGAGGCAGCAGUGGGGAAUAUUGCACAAUGGGCGCAAGCCUGAUGCAGCGACGCCGCGUGAGGGAUGGAGGCCUUCGGGUUGUAAACCUCUUUCGCUCAUGGUCAAGCCGCAACAGUGGUUGUGGUGAGGGUAGUGGGUAAAGAAGCGCCGGCUAACUACGUGCCAGCAGCCGCGGUAAUACGUAGGGCGCGAGCGUUGUCCGGAAUUAUUGGGCGUAAAGGGCUUGUAGGCGGUUGGUCGCGUCUGCCGUGAAAUCCUCUGGCUUAACUGGGGGCGUGCGGUGGGUACGGGCUGACUUGAGUGCGGUAGGGGAGACUGGAACUCCUGGUGUAGCGGUGGAAUGCGCAGAUAUCAGGAAGAACACCGGUGGCGAAGCGGGGUCUCUGGGGGCGUACUGACGCUCAGGAACGAAAGCGUGGGGGAGCGAACAGGAUAAAUACCCUGGGUAGUCCAAGGGCGAAUCCACAGUGGAUAUCAAGCGUAUCGUACCCUUCCACCCCGUGGGGGGGGGGGGGUCGCGCCUUUACUCCCUCCUCCUUGUAUGGAAAUAUCUGGGCGUGGCGGAAUAUGGGUGCAAGGGGAUUGCACACAUCCGGAUAAGCAUACAUGA